AUACUCACUUCAGCAGCACCUACACUAAAAUUGGGAUGAUACACAGAAGGCUGGCAUGGCUACUGGCAAGGAUGACAUGCAAAGGUGUGCAGCAUUGCCUAUUUUU
Callithrix jacchus (white-tufted-ear marmoset) is the source of this 106-nucleotide small nuclear RNA. The record is from Ensembl. Lineage: Eukaryota; Metazoa; Chordata; Mammalia; Primates; Cebidae.